AGAGAUUAUACAAAUAAAUCGUAUAUUUAUAUUCAGAAUUUCAACACAUAAAUGGCAUGUAUUUUCUGUCUAGCAAUUUUCGGUUAUUUAGCAUCCACAUAUUUCACUUCCAACGAGGAAAUAUUAAAUUGGUCAGAUUUCCCACUGAAAUAUGCCAUAAUUCAAAUCGUUCCCGACCACAGGCAACGCCACUGGCCGUUGGCAGCACCGGCUUGUCCAUUAGAUUUACGAUUUUAAUGACGCCCAGUGCUGGCGCUGAUGUGCCAGAGAAUGCGAAUAUAAAUAAUUACCAGGCUAAAUAUGAUUUGUCGGGGCGUCUGGAGUGGACUGCUGGCUACUGGCUACUGGAUGCUGGAUGCUGGAAGAGGUGGUUCUUGGAUUUCUGAUGCAGGGGCAAGAGCAAGAGCAAGGACAAUGGCCAGUAGCUAGGGCGAUGGCCAUGAUGCCGUGGGGCUCGCGUUUCCGUUUCAAAUUAAAACUUUUUGACAGCAUUGCGGGCCGAAUAAAAAAAUGGAUACCAAACUUGA
Molecule: long non-coding RNA, 527 nt
Organism: Drosophila santomea
Lineage: Eukaryota; Metazoa; Arthropoda; Insecta; Diptera; Drosophilidae
Exons: 2
Source: RefSeq, a predicted model, not a curated record